Molecule: ribosomal RNA, 490 nt
Filed under: uncultured bacterium
Lineage: Bacteria
Description: partial 16S ribosomal RNA
Rfam family: Bacterial small subunit ribosomal RNA
Source: RNAcentral
GAUGAACGCUAGCGAUAGGCUUAACACAUGCGAGUCGAGGGGCAGCAUGGUCUUAGCUUGCUAAGGCUGAUGGCGACCGGCGCACGGGUGCGUAACGCGUAUGCAACUUGCCUCACAGAGGGGGAUAACCCGUCGAAAGACGGACUAAUACCGCGUACACUCUAUGUUGGGCAUCCAAUGUAGAGGAAAUGAAAUUCGCUGUGAGAUAGGCAUGCGUCCCAUUAGCUAGUUGGUGAGGUAACGGCUCACCAAGGCGACGAUGGGUAGGGGAACUGAGAGGUUGACCCCCCAAGCUGGUACUGUGGCACGGACCAGACGCCUACGGGAGGCAGCAGUGAGGAAUAUUGGUCAACGGGCGAGAGCCUGAACCAGCCAAGGCGCGUGAAGGAUGACUGUCUUAUGGAUUGUAAACUUCUUUUAAACGGGAAUAACAAGAGUCACGUGUGGCUCCCUGCAUGUACCGUAUGAAUAAGCAUCGGCUAACUCCGUG